RNAcentral lists this ribosomal RNA (2904 nucleotides) under Escherichia coli. RNAcentral's name for it is "23S ribosomal RNA". It matches the Rfam family "Bacterial large subunit ribosomal RNA". Lineage: Bacteria; Pseudomonadati; Pseudomonadota; Gammaproteobacteria; Enterobacterales; Enterobacteriaceae. The record is from RNAcentral.
GGUUAAGCGACUAAGCGUACACGGUGGAUGCCCUGGCAGUCAGAGGCGAUGAAGGACGUGCUAAUCUGCGAUAAGCGUCGGUAAGGUGAUAUGAACCGUUAUAACCGGCGAUUUCCGAAUGGGGAAACCCAGUGUGAUUCGUCACACUAUCAUUAACUGAAUCCAUAGGUUAAUGAGGCGAACCGGGGGAACUGAAACAUCUAAGUACCCCGAGGAAAAGAAAUCAACCGAGAUUCCCCCAGUAGCGGCGAGCGAACGGGGAGCAGCCCAGAGCCUGAAUCAGUGUGUGUGUUAGUGGAAGCGUCUGGAAAGGCGCGCGAUACAGGGUGACAGCCCCGUACACAAAAAUGCACAUGCUGUGAGCUCGAUGAGUAGGGCGGGACACGUGGUAUCCUGUCUGAAUAUGGGGGGACCAUCCUCCAAGGCUAAAUACUCCUGACUGACCGAUAGUGAACCAGUACCGUGAGGGAAAGGCGAAAAGAACCCCGGCGAGGGGAGUGAAAAAGAACCUGAAACCGUGUACGUACAAGCAGUGGGAGCACGCUUAGGCGUGUGACUGCGUACCUUUUGUAUAAUGGGUCAGCGACUUAUAUUCUGUAGCAAGGUUAACCGAAUAGGGGAGCCGAAGGGAAACCGAGUCUUAACUGGGCGUUAAGUUGCAGGGUAUAGACCCGAAACCCGGUGAUCUAGCCAUGGGCAGGUUGAAGGUUGGGUAACACUAACUGGAGGACCGAACCGACUAAUGUUGAAAAAUUAGCGGAUGACUUGUGGCUGGGGGUGAAAGGCCAAUCAAACCGGGAGAUAGCUGGUUCUCCCCGAAAGCUAUUUAGGUAGCGCCUCGUGAAUUCAUCUCCGGGGGUAGAGCACUGUUUCGGCAAGGGGGUCAUCCCGACUUACCAACCCGAUGCAAACUGCGAAUACCGGAGAAUGUUAUCACGGGAGACACACGGCGGGUGCUAACGUCCGUCGUGAAGAGGGAAACAACCCAGACCGCCAGCUAAGGUCCCAAAGUCAUGGUUAAGUGGGAAACGAUGUGGGAAGGCCCAGACAGCCAGGAUGUUGGCUUAGAAGCAGCCAUCAUUUAAAGAAAGCGUAAUAGCUCACUGGUCGAGUCGGCCUGCGCGGAAGAUGUAACGGGGCUAAACCAUGCACCGAAGCUGCGGCAGCGACGCUUAUGCGUUGUUGGGUAGGGGAGCGUUCUGUAAGCCUGUGAAGGUGUACUGUGAGGUAUGCUGGAGGUAUCAGAAGUGCGAAUGCUGACAUAAGUAACGAUAAAGCGGGUGAAAAGCCCGCUCGCCGGAAGACCAAGGGUUCCUGUCCAACGUUAAUCGGGGCAGGGUGAGUCGACCCCUAAGGCGAGGCCGAAAGGCGUAGUCGAUGGGAAACAGGUUAAUAUUCCUGUACUUGGUGUUACUGCGAAGGGGGGACGGAGAAGGCUAUGUUGGCCGGGCGACGGUUGUCCCGGUUUAAGCGUGUAGGCUGGUUUUCCAGGCAAAUCCGGAAAAUCAAGGCUGAGGCGUGAUGACGAGGCACUACGGUGCUGAAGCAACAAAUGCCCUGCUUCCAGGAAAAGCCUCUAAGCAUCAGGUAACAUCAAAUCGUACCCCAAACCGACACAGGUGGUCAGGUAGAGAAUACCAAGGCGCUUGAGAGAACUCGGGUGAAGGAACUAGGCAAAAUGGUGCCGUAACUUCGGGAGAAGGCACGCUGAUAUGUAGGUGAAGCGACUUGCUCGUGGAGCUGAAAUCAGUCGAAGAUACCAGCUGGCUGCAACUGUUUAUUAAAAACACAGCACUGUGCAAACACGAAAGUGGACGUAUACGGUGUGACGCCUGCCCGGUGCCGGAAGGUUAAUUGAUGGGGUCAGCGCAAGCGAAGCUCUUGAUCGAAGCCCCGGUAAACGGCGGCCGUAACUAUAACGGUCCUAAGGUAGCGAAAUUCCUUGUCGGGUAAGUUCCGACCUGCACGAAUGGCGUAAUGAUGGCCAGGCUGUCUCCACCCGAGACUCAGUGAAAUUGAACUCGCUGUGAAGAUGCAGUGUACCCGCGGCAAGACGGAAAGACCCCGUGAACCUUUACUAUAGCUUGACACUGAACAUUGAGCCUUGAUGUGUAGGAUAGGUGGGAGGCUUUGAAGUGUGGACGCCAGUCUGCAUGGAGCCGACCUUGAAAUACCACCCUUUAAUGUUUGAUGUUCUAACGUUGACCCGUGAUCCGGGUUGCGGACAGUGUCUGGUGGGUAGUUUGACUGGGGCGGUCUCCUCCUAAAGAGUAACGGAGGAGCACGAAGGUUGGCUAAUCCUGGUCGGACAUCAGGAGGUUAGUGCAAUGGCAUAAGCCAGCUUGACUGCGAGCGUGACGGCGCGAGCAGGUGCGAAAGCAGGUCAUAGUGAUCCGGUGGUUCUGAAUGGAAGGGCCAUCGCUCAACGGAUAAAAGGUACUCCGGGGAUAACAGGCUGAUACCGCCCAAGAGUUCAUAUCGACGGCGGUGUUUGGCACCUCGAUGUCGGCUCAUCACAUCCUGGGGCUGAAGUAGGUCCCAAGGGUAUGGCUGUUCGCCAUUUAAAGUGGUACGCGAGCUGGGUUUAGAACGUCGUGAGACAGUUCGGUCCCUAUCUGCCGUGGGCGCUGGAGAACUGAGGGGGGCUGCUCCUAGUACGAGAGGACCGGAGUGGACGCAUCACUGGUGUUCGGGUUGUCAUGCCAAUGGCACUGCCCGGUAGCUAAAUGCGGAAGAGAUAAGUGCUGAAAGCAUCUAAGCACGAAACUUGCCCCGAGAUGAGUUCUCCCUGACUCCUUGAGAGUCCUGAAGGAACGUUGAAGACGACGACGUUGAUAGGCCGGGUGUGUAAGCGCAGCGAUGCGUUGAGCUAACCGGUACUAAUGAACCGUGAGGCUUAACCUU